Molecule: ribosomal RNA, 333 nt
Filed under: uncultured bacterium
Lineage: Bacteria
Description: bacterial SSU rRNA
Rfam family: Bacterial small subunit ribosomal RNA
Source: RNAcentral
GACGAACGCUGGCGGCGUGCCUAAUACAUGCAAGUCGAGCGAGCUUGCCUAGAUGAUUUUAGUGCUUGCACUAAAUGAAACUAGAUACAAGCGAGCGGCGGACGGGUGAGUAACGCGUGGGUAACCUGCCUUAUACAGGGGGAUAACAGUCAGAAAUGACUGCUAAUACCGCAUAAGCGCACGGAACCGCAUGGUUCUGUGUGAAAAACUCCGGUGGUAUAAGAUGGACCCGCGUUGGAUUAGCUUGUUGGUGAGGUAACGGCUCACCAAGGCGACGAUCCAUAGCCGGCCUGAGAGGGUGAACGGCCACAUUGGGACUGAGACACGGCCCAG